Molecule: transfer RNA, 72 nt
Filed under: Cavia porcellus (domestic guinea pig)
Lineage: Eukaryota; Metazoa; Chordata; Mammalia; Rodentia; Caviidae
Rfam family: tRNA
About the family: Transfer RNA (tRNA) molecules are approximately 80 nucleotides in length.
Source: Rfam by way of RNAcentral
ACUAGGAUGACUGAGUGGUUAAGGUAUUGGACUUAAGAUUCAAUAAAUGUGUACAGUUUACUGUUUUGAGUA